RNAcentral lists this ribosomal RNA (857 nucleotides) under human gut metagenome. Its description in RNAcentral is "bacterial SSU rRNA". It matches the Rfam family "Bacterial small subunit ribosomal RNA", at positions 8 to 865 of the family's 1533-position model. The record is from RNAcentral.
AGAGUUUGAUCCUGGCUCAGGACGAACGCUGGCGGCGUGCUUAACACAUGCAAGUCGAACGAAGCUUGAUUACGGAUUCUUCGGAUGAAGUAUGAUAUGACUGAGUGGCGGACGGGUGAGUAACGCGUGAGUAACCUGCCCUUCAGAGGGGGAUAGCGUUUGGAAACGAACGGUAAUACCGCAUAAUGUAUUUUGACCGCAUGAUCGAAAUACCAAAGAUUUAUCGCUGAAGGAUGGACUCGCGUCUGAUUAGGUAGUUGGUGGGGUAACGGCCUACCAAGCCGACGAUCAGUAGCCGGACUGAGAGGUUGAUCGGCCACAUUGGGACUGAGACACGGCCCAGACUCCUACGGGAGGCAGCAGUGGGGAAUAUUGCACAAUGGGGGAAACCCUGAUGCAGCAACGCCGCGUGAAGGAAGACGGUUUUCGGAUUGUAAACUUCUGUUCUUAGUGAAGAAUAAUGACGGUAGCUAAGGAGCAAGCCACGGCUAACUACGUGCCAGCAGCCGCGGUAAUACGUAGGUGGCAAGCGUUGUCCGGAAUUACUGGGUGUAAAGGGAGCGCAGGCGGGUGAUCAAGUCAGCUGUGAAAACUACGGGCUUAACCCGUAGACUGCAGUUGAAACUGUUCAUCUUGAGUGAAGUAGAGGUUGGCGGAAUUCCUAGUGUAGCGGUGAAAUGCGUAGAUAUUCGGAGGAACACCGGUGGCGAAGGCGGCCAACUGGGCUUUAACUGACGCUGAGGCUCGAAAGUGUGGGGAGCAAACAGGAUUAGAUACCCUGGUAGUCCACACUGUAAACGAUGAUUGCUAGGUGUGGGGGGUCUGACCCCUUCCGUGCCGGAGCUAACGCAAUAAGC